UACGUAGGGGGCAAGCGUUGGUCCGGAUUUACUGGGCGUAAAGAGCGUGUAGGCGGCCAAACAGGUCCGUUGUGAAAACUGGAGGCUCAACUUCCAGACGUCGACGGAACCGUGUGGCUAGAGUCCGGAAGAGGAGAGUGGAAUCCUGGUGUAGCGGUGAAAUGCGCAGAUAUCAGGAAGAACACCCGGUGGCGAAGGCGGUUCUCUGGGACGGUACUGACGCUGAGACGCGAAAGCGUGGGGAGCAAACAGG
RNAcentral lists this ribosomal RNA (253 nucleotides) under uncultured bacterium. RNAcentral's name for it is "partial 16S ribosomal RNA". It matches the Rfam family "Bacterial small subunit ribosomal RNA", at positions 524 to 776 of the family's 1533-position model. The record is from RNAcentral.